AUGUUUUCACGUAUCCAUUUUUUGUAUGGGAAUGUCAUUCAGAUAUAUUUCCUAGCAUAUCUGAACUUGCUUGGGACGAAAUGCUACUGUUGUUGUAAUGUCAUUCAGUUAUAUUUUAUUAAUAGAUCACAUCAGGAGCAUGUUCAUGCUGUUAGGUUAACAGAUCUGCAUAGCUGUAGGGAUGAACAUUUAAUCUCUGUAUUAUGUUUUAAGAGAAUGAUACAGACAGAUUUGCAGACUAUCAUAGCCAACCAGAGAAAACACAGUUGCGUUGUAUUAUUGUCUCGUUGA
This 291-nucleotide ribosomal RNA is filed under the name Triticum aestivum (bread wheat). RNAcentral describes it as "partial small subunit ribosomal RNA". Lineage: Eukaryota; Viridiplantae; Streptophyta; Magnoliopsida; Poales; Poaceae. The record is from RNAcentral.